GAUGAACGCUGGCGGCGUGCCUAAUACAUGCAAGUCGAGCGAAUGGAUUAAGAGCUUGCUCUUAUGAAGUUAGCGGCGGACGGGUGAGUACACGUGGGUAACCUGCCCAUAAGACUGGGAUAACUCCGGGAAACCGGGGCUAAUACCGGAUAACAUUUUGAACCGCAUGGUUCGAAAUUGAAAGGCGGCUUCGGCUGUCACUUAUGGAUGGACCCGCGUCGCAUUGGCUAGUUGGUGAGGUAACGGCUCACCAAGGCAACGAUGCGUAGCCGGCCUGAGAGGGGGAUCGGCCACACUGGGACUGACACACGGCCCAGACUCCUACGGGAGGCAUCAGUAGGGAAUCUUCCGCAAUGGACGAAAGUCUGACGGAGCAACGCCGCGUGAGUGAUGAAGGCUUUCGGGUCGUAAAACUCUGUUGUUAGGGAAGAACAAGUGCUAGUUGAAUAAGCUGGCACCUUGACGGUACCUAACCAGAAAGCCACGGCUAACUACGUGCCAGCCGCCGCGGUAA
RNAcentral lists this ribosomal RNA (514 nucleotides) under uncultured bacterium. RNAcentral's name for it is "partial 16S ribosomal RNA". It matches the Rfam family "Bacterial small subunit ribosomal RNA", at positions 28 to 523 of the family's 1533-position model. The record is from RNAcentral.